Molecule: long non-coding RNA, 819 nt
Filed under: Mytilus galloprovincialis (Mediterranean mussel)
Lineage: Eukaryota; Metazoa; Mollusca; Bivalvia; Mytilida; Mytilidae
Source: RNAcentral
GCUGGCACGGUAGCGACGACGUAAACUACGUCUCGCAUUCUAUGACUUUAGUCGCAGGCGAGACAAAAUACUAUCGGAGUUCUACAUUUAUAAGUUGUAAUUAUGUUGUAUUUUACAAGUUCAAAACUAUAAAAUAGUACUUGUUGUGUUCUUUUUAACUGCUUUCUUAAAGCUUUACUGAAAAUGUGUAAUAAUGUUUAGCCACAUAAUCUUGUACAUGAUAAGUCACAACCCAAGCCACAAUUUAAGCUAGUACUUCAAUCUUGUUAAUAAACCAAGAACUGCAAAAGUAUAGUACUCAAUAGGUAUACACCUACUCAAUUUGGUCAAUAUGUACCCAAUACAAGUCUAGAUGCUUUGAUCCAUUUAUAAAUAACGUAUAGUGAUCGAUUGUCGGCAUAUCACUCCCGAAUUUACAGUAUCGUUUUGUCUAAGAAACAAGUAACAUUUCUCUUUUCCCGGUCGGUACUUAUUAUUAUUAAGAAGUUAGACUGGCCGAAUGCUUUGUCUUUGUGAUGCAUAUGUUUAUAGAACUCCCAAAGUCAUGACAGUGACACAAUUUGCGAUACAUUAAAAACUUCUCGAGAUACGACUACAUCAUCGUUCUAUCAUUCUAUAGCUCUGGUAGUUCAUUCAAUAAUGUUUGAACAAUAUAUUUGAAUAAUCGGACAAAUAAAACUUCCUUGAACACGAACUAACAUAAUCUAUCCGAAACGUAUCUAUACAGUUCAAUAAAGUAUCAUAAAUGGUGGAGAUUUUAACGAUGUUUGUGUUCAUAUCUGUCAUAUCUGUAGAAUAAAAAAUGUGAUUACUGUUUCU